RNAcentral lists this long non-coding RNA (814 nucleotides) under Anser brachyrhynchus (Pink-footed goose). RNAcentral's name for it is "lncRNA (ENSABRG00000014911.1)". Lineage: Eukaryota; Metazoa; Chordata; Aves; Anseriformes; Anatidae. The record is from RNAcentral.
GGCACGGAGAAGGGCACGGAGAAGCAGCGGGCAGUGGGAGCCGAGGUUGCUGAAGGAGGAGCAGGCUGGGAGCGGUGUCCUGGCACUCCCACGAGGCAGAUCCUUGCUGCGGUGUCACCACGAAGCACAUCUUCCAUGCCAUGGUGUUUUAAUAUUGAAUUAGUGCCAUCAGUCAGGAGCGUUAUUAUUUAUUUAUUUAGUUCCUAAAUAGGUUUGAAGCUAAAGUGCUGGUUUUGGCAGUGAUGGGACAUAGCCUGCCUAAAGACGGAAGGGAGAAGGCAAACCUAUUAACCACAUAGGACCAUGGGUUCAUACGCAGAAGUCUUGUCCUUUGGAAGGGUGAUCUGAAAGGAGGUCCCCAUGGUAUCAGUAUUAAAGGCAGAAAUCAAAGCACGGGACCCAUGGGAAGCGGCGUUUCAAAUGUAUAGCACCGCUCUUCUGUGUCACUGUUCUGAACUAUGCACCCUCCGCUCCUGACAGCACACCCACAACAAGAUAAGCUUUGACAGUGAUGAGUGGGUUCUGGCUAUGCAUGAAGAAAUUGGAAGCUGGUUAUCACCGCAAUCGUGCAAUGGGACUGUUGGACUGGCUGCUGUGUUGCUUGUGCGAGGCUGAGCCGAGGGCUCCUGAGAUGAAAUUUCAGAAAGUGCCAAAUCCAGACAGGCUCUGUAUGAUUAACAAGGAUGCCUGCCUCACCACAGAGAUGUGCAGAAACUGCAGCAAUCACUCAGCAGAGCUGCUUGGAGAGACCAAGAGGCAGUGCUCCAUAAAGCCCAAUGUGGUUUCAGCCAGCAGCAUGCUAUCUAAGUGGUGA